RNAcentral lists this ribosomal RNA (253 nucleotides) under uncultured bacterium. RNAcentral describes it as "partial 16S ribosomal RNA". It matches the Rfam family "Bacterial small subunit ribosomal RNA", at positions 524 to 776 of the family's 1533-position model. The record is from RNAcentral.
UACGUAGGGGGCUAGCGUUGUCCGGAAUCAUUGGGCGUGAAGAGCGUGUAGGCGGUCCGGUAAGUCCGCUGUGAAAGUCGGGGGCUCAACCCUCGAAUGCCGGUGGAUACUGUCGGGCUAGAGUGCGGAAGAGGCGAGUGGAAUUCCUGGUGUAGCGGUGAAAUGCGCAGAUAUCAGGAGGAACACCUAUUGCGAAGGCAGCUCGCUGGGACGUAACUGACGCUGAGACGCGAAAGCGUGGGGAGCAAACAGG